This is a long non-coding RNA of Folsomia candida, 1004 nucleotides long. RefSeq lists it as uncharacterized. The record is from RefSeq and is a predicted model, not a curated record. The transcript is spliced from 3 exons. NCBI's taxonomy places the organism in Eukaryota, Metazoa, Arthropoda, Collembola, Entomobryomorpha, Isotomidae.
UGUUAGUUCCCACGGGCGGACGGAAAUAAAAUCAACAGGUCGGUGGUGGUCCAAUGCAUGUGGUCGUUAUAGGCACAGAGAUCAAAGUAAAAUUGCUGCUGCUGUACACAAAAUGGGGAUCAAAUUUUCGUGAGCUCUUUUCCAGCGAGUUUGCGACGCAGAUAUUUAUUUUCCGUUUGAAGCAUCAUCGUCAUCAUCAACAACAACUGAUUGACGGAAGAGACGCCCACACGACACGGUCAGAAGCAAACUGCACCCACCGACCAUGUUAUCUUCUUGGAGGCAUUCAGCAUAUGUGCAAUAUCACGGCACCACGGAGGUCUCUUAUUCAUGUACAUGUGUACUUAUUAUCAUCAGCAGUUGUAAGGGAAGCAUAUACCAGCAGCAGCAGCGUGUGCCAAUAUUGAAUGAACGAUGAAUGGAUGGAUGGAUGGAAGCGAGGAGUCGUCAUUGUCAUUUGCUUGGUAUUUGCUCCUGCUUUCAAGAAGAAGCAGCGUCUCUAAAGGAGUCACAUACACUGGGAGGGAGGCGACGACGAUGAUAUCCAGCCGUCGCCGUCCUCCUCAAGAGUGAGAACUAACAAGAAAAAGUUGUCCUCCAUCCAUCCGCGGGUUGGAUGAGGACAAGUCAAUACAAUCAAUGUGAAUAAUGCAACAGCACAGCAACCUCGAUUGAUUUCAUUUGGUUAUCAUUAUUGAGGACAUGUUGAAGGCUUUCUUCUCAGCCUCCUGCUCCGCUCCUGCUCAAAAUUGUGUUAUUUAUUUAUUUCUUGUGUAGCUGAUGAUGAUGUGAAACCUUAUUACACAAAUAUUUAUGUAGAAGAGCAAUGAAAGAAAUAUUAUUUUUCACUACUUUUCGGAGACUUUUGUCCCAUUGUGAGCCUUAUCUACACCGUAUUGAAUUGAUUUUGAAAGGAAGUUGGGUGCCAAACCGGCUCCUCAGUCCAAUCCAAUGUCUGGGUUUUCGUAGGUGCACAUUCACGAUAUAACGUUUAGACACUGCCA